Cydia pomonella (codling moth) is the source of this 1800-nucleotide long non-coding RNA. RefSeq lists it as uncharacterized. The transcript is spliced from 2 exons. The record is from RefSeq and is a predicted model, not a curated record. NCBI's taxonomy places the organism in Eukaryota, Metazoa, Arthropoda, Insecta, Lepidoptera, Tortricidae.
UCCGAGGUUCCUCGGGGUUCCGAUUACGAAAAUGACGUUCAUUUUGAAAUCCAAGAUGGCGGACAUUAAGUUUUCUUAAAAAUCGAUAUGGGUGUCAUCUCCGAGGUUCCUCGGGGAUCCGAUUACGAAAAUGACGUUCAUUUUGAAAUCCAAGAUGGCGGAAAUUAUUUUUUCUUAAAAGUCGAUAUGGGUGUCAUAUUCGAGGUUCCUCGGGAUUCCGAUUACGAAAAUGACGUCUAUUUUGAAAUCCAAGAUGGUGGACAUUAAUUUUUCUUAAAAAUCGAUAUGGGUGUCAUCUCCGAGGUUCUUCGAGGUUCCGAUUACGAAAAUGACGUCCAUUUUGCAAUCCAAGAUGGCGAACAUUAUUUUUUCUUUAAAAUCGAUAUGGGUGCCAUCUCCGAGGUUCCUCGGGGAUCCGAUUACGAAAAUGACGUUCAUUUUGAAAUCCAAGAUGGCGGAAAUUAUUUUUUCUUAAGUCGAUAUGGGUGUCAUAUCCGAGGUUCCUCGGGAUUCCGAUUACGAAAAUGACGUCUAUUUUGAAAUCCAAGAUGGCGGACAUUAAUUUUUCUUAAAAAUCGACAUGAGUGUCUUCUCCGAGGUUCCUCGGGGUUCCGAUUACGAAAAUGACGUUCAUUUUGAAAUCCAAGAUGGCGGACAUUAAUUUUUCUUAAAAAUCGAUAUGGGUGUCAUCUCCGAGGUUCCUCGGGGUUCCAAUUACAAAAAUGACGUCAAUUUUGGCGGUUCUUGUUGGUGCAGAUUUCAAAAAUAGAGACCAUUUUAGAAUUAAAGGUGGUUGAUAUGACGGCUACACACAUCGACACCCAUUUCAAAAAGUAGCGUCCGCCAUAUUUAUUUUCAAAAUAGAUGUCAUUUUUGAAAUCCACACCCCUAAAAACCCAGAAAACAACACCCAUGACGACUUUUUCAAAAAAGUGACGUCCGCCAUCUUUAUUUCCAAAAUGGACGUCAUUUGUAAAAUUAGUACACAUACAUCAUACAACAUGAAAACUAAAAACAUUUCCAUCCUCUUUUGGGCAGUUGUGUAAGUCUGUGAUAACCCUAGGUAGGUACGGAGACCUUGAGCGGUGUCGGCAUUUACGCAAACAUCAAAGGCGUCGGCCCACUGUUACUUUUUACACUGUGCUUUUAGUGUGUAAACGAAAACGUCACAUGAUAUAUCAAAAGAAAAGUUAUUUUACAGUACAUAUGGGGCUACUUUAUAGCACUAGUGCGAGAAGUAGCAUAUUAUGUUACUGUGUCGAACAUUUAAAGGGCCAUAAGUACUGUAAAACGUUGUACGAUACAUGUGCGAAUAGGUAAUUCGCAACUCGUGUCGAUUUAAAACACUCCCUUCGGUCGUGUUUUAAUUUAUCGCCACUCGUUUCGAAUUUCCUAUUUUUCGCACUUGUAUCGUAAUGUACUAUUAUCUUAUACCUUUAAACGAGCAAUUCUUGUAAGUAUAUAUAUAAUAAUAUUUCUGUGAUCUCGGAAACGGCUCUAACGAUUUUGCUGAAAUUUGGUAUAUUAAUAAGCGGGUUAAGACGCGGACUGCUAAACGAGUGUUACGGGUUCGAAUCUCGCCCGGUGACUAACUUUUGUUUUUUUUUAUAUGUUCAAGUUUAUAUAUAAUUUUUUAAUUUUUAUUGUUUUACACAAGUUUAAUUUAGUAAAAAAAAAUGACCUAUGUAAUAAGAGAAAUCGACAAUAGAUGGCGUUACUCUGUGACAAGUGCUGUAAGGUUAAAAUCGAUUGUAAAUAAUAAUAAUUGUCAGUUCACAUUUUACUUUUUAAGUUUAUGUA